This 210-nucleotide long non-coding RNA is filed under the name Vitis vinifera (wine grape). Its description in RNAcentral is "long non-coding RNA (VVIN_LNC003622)". Lineage: Eukaryota; Viridiplantae; Streptophyta; Magnoliopsida; Vitales; Vitaceae. The record is from RNAcentral.
UAGGAUUAAAGGUCAUUGUCAGUACUGUGUUGAAACUAAGAAUUGAUCGUUUAAAGAUGUGUAUGUUGGUUUUGGAAGCCUUGCGGAAACAAUUUAAGAAAAUUUAGGCCUUAAUUGAACUCUUAAUUAUGAAACAAUAAGAAUCAUGUGACUAAGAAGGAAAGGGGGUGGAAAACAUAUUUAAAGCUUAAUUUAUUGAAGCUCAUAAGG